This 394-nucleotide ribosomal RNA is filed under the name uncultured bacterium. RNAcentral's name for it is "bacterial SSU rRNA". It matches the Rfam family "Bacterial small subunit ribosomal RNA", at positions 28 to 422 of the family's 1533-position model. The record is from RNAcentral.
GACGAACGCUGGCGGCGUGCUUAACACAUGCAAGUCGAGCGGUAAGGCCCUUUCGGGGGUACGACGAGCGGCGAACGGGUGAGUAACACGUGGGUGACCUGCCCUCAGUUCUGGGAUAAGCCUGGGAAACCGGGUCUAAUACUGGAUAUGACCUCAUGACGCAUGUUGUGGGGUGGAAAGCCUUGUGCGACUGAGGAUGGGCCCGCGGCCUAUCAGCUUGUUGGUGGGGUGAUGGCCUACCAAGGCGACGACGGGUAGCCGGCCUGAGAGGGCGACCGGCCACACUGGGACUGAGACACGGCCCAGACUCCUACGGGAGGCAGCAGUGGGGAAUCUUGCGCAAUGGGCGAAAGCCUGACGCAGCGACGCCGCGUGAGGGAUGACGGCCUGGUGU